GUUAGUUUAGAUAACCCUCUAGUUGUCUGUCUCUUGUGUUAUACAUGUUGUAGGAGAGGAGACAGGUACGUUAGUUUAGACAACCCUCUAGUUGACUGUCUCUUGUGUUAUACAUGUUGUAGGAGAGGAGACAGGUACGUUAGUUUAGACAACCCUCUAGUUGACUGUCUCUUGUGUUAUACAUGUUGUAGGAGAGGAGACAGGUACGUUAGUUUAGACAACCCUCUAGUUGACUGUCUCUUGUGUUAUACAUGUUGUAGGAGAGGAGACAGGUACGUUAGUUUAGACAACCCUCUAGUUGACUGUCUCUUGUGUUAUACAUGUUGUAGGAGAGGAGACAGGUACGUUAGUUUAGACAACCCUCUAGUUGACUGUCUCUUGUGUUAUACAUGUUGUAGGAGAGGAGACAGGUACGUUAGUUUAGACAACCCUCUAGUUGACUGUCUCUUGUGUUAUACAUGUUGUAGGAGAGGAGACAGGUACGUUAGUUUAGACAACCCUCUAGUUGACUGUCUCUUGUGUUAUACAUGUUGUAGGAGAGGAGACAGGUACGUUAGUUUAGACAACCCUCUAGUUGACUGUCUCUUGUGUUAUACAUGUUGUAGGAGAGGAGACGGGUACGUUAGUUUAGAUAACCCUCUAGUUGACUGUCUCUUG
Molecule: long non-coding RNA, 657 nt
Organism: Oncorhynchus keta (chum salmon)
Lineage: Eukaryota; Metazoa; Chordata; Actinopteri; Salmoniformes; Salmonidae
Exons: 3
Source: RefSeq, a predicted model, not a curated record